GAGUUUGAUCCUGGCUCAGGACGAACGCUGGCGGCGUGCCUAACACAUGCAAGUCGAGCGAGGAGAUUCCCUUCGGGGAUGAACCUAGCGGCGGACGGGUGAGUAACACGUGGGCAACCUGCCUUAUAGAGGGGAAUAGCCUUCCGAAAGGAAGAUUAAUACCGCAUAACAUUACAUUUUCGCAUGAAGAAGUAAUUAAAGGAGUAAUCCGCUAUAAGAUGGGCCCGCGGCGCAUUAGCUAGUUGGUGAGGUAACGGCUCACCAAGGCGACGAUGCGUAGCCGACCUGAGAGGGUGAUCGGCCACAUUGGGACUGAGACACGGCCCAGACUCCUACGGGAGGCAGCAGUGGGGAAUAUUGCACAAUGGGGGAAACCCUGAUGCAGCAACGCCGCGUGAGUGAUGAAGGUCUUCGGAUCGUAAAGCUCUGUCUUCAGGGACGAUAAUGACGGCACCUGAGGAGGAAGCCACGGCUAACUACGUGCCAGCAGCCGCGGUAAUAC
RNAcentral lists this ribosomal RNA (502 nucleotides) under uncultured bacterium. Its description in RNAcentral is "bacterial SSU rRNA". It matches the Rfam family "Bacterial small subunit ribosomal RNA", at positions 9 to 526 of the family's 1533-position model. The record is from RNAcentral.